GCUCUGCUGUCAUCAAUUCUCUCUGCCAGGUUUUCUAAAAUCCCGGUAAUGUCUCUGUUAAAAAAAUGGAAGACACUAUUACAACUCAUCAACUCCUUAGUAAAAUGCUCAAAGGCCUGAAAUGCGUGUCAGAUAAGGCACCCCUUGUCACAGGGGAUCUAUGCGACCACUGCUAAAUUGUCAGAAAAACAUCAUUCUUACCUUUCCUCUGAAGAAGUGGACACAAUGUCCUCUAUUUCAUGUGAGAAAGGUAUACUUUCGCUGUCACUGACAUCACUUUCGAAGAGUGCUGCAUAUUGCCACUCCCUUAAACGGUAAGUUUGAGCCUUAGCACAACAAUUUUUAUCUGACACAAUAUUCGUCUAAUAUCAUCAAGAGCAUUUUAUGGACUGACAAAGCUUACCAAAGUCCACUCCCUGGAUAUUUUUGAUUUUUACCUGUUGUUGUCCAUGAGACUCCUAGAACUUCCCUCAUCCAACUGGGAACCAGAGGCUUGAGGUGCAUCAUCAUUUGACAUCAUCAUAACAGAGCUGGCAGGAAUCAUGGCAAUGAAAGAUGAUGCAACUGAUGGAUCACUGUCGUUUAACAGAAUGACUGCAUCUGGCUGGUCCUCACACGUAUCAAUGGUGACAGUGUCAAUUACAGAACUGAAAGCAACAUCAUUACCAGCCUCCUUAAAUGCAAGGAAAAAAAGAAAAAA
Long non-coding RNA from Sinocyclocheilus anshuiensis, 700 nucleotides. RefSeq lists it as uncharacterized. The transcript has 2 exons. NCBI's taxonomy places the organism in Eukaryota, Metazoa, Chordata, Actinopteri, Cypriniformes, Cyprinidae. The record is from RefSeq and is a predicted model, not a curated record.